AGCAGCCGCGGUAAUUCCAGCUCCAAUAGCGUAUAUUAAAGUUGUUGCAGUUAAAAGCUCGUAGUUGAAUUUUAGGCCUGGCCGGGCGGUCCGUCUUUGGCGAGUACUGUCUGUUGUCGGGUCUUCCUUCUGGUGAACCAAUAUGUCCUUUAUUGGGUGUGCUGGGGAGCCAGGACCAUUACCUUGAAAAAAUUAGAGUGUUUAAAGCAGGCUUUUGCUUGAAUAGAUUAGCAUGGAAUAAUAGAAUAGGACGUUGUGGUUCUAUUUUGUUGGUUUCUAGGGCCACCGUAAUGAUUAAUAGGGAUAGUUGGGGGCAUUAGUAUUCAAUUGUCAGAGGUGAAAUUCUUGGAUUUAUUGAAGACUAACUAUUGCGAAAGCAUUUGCCAAGGAUGUUUUCAUUAAUCAAGAACGAAAGUUAGGGGAUCGAAGACGAUCAGAUACCGUCGUAGUCUUAACCAUAAACUAUGCCGACUAGGAAUCGGGCGACGUUAUUUUAAUGACUCGCUCGGCGCCUUAUGGG
RNAcentral lists this ribosomal RNA (520 nucleotides) under uncultured Archaeospora. Its description in RNAcentral is "SSU rRNA". It matches the Rfam family "Eukaryotic small subunit ribosomal RNA", at positions 569 to 1094 of the family's 1831-position model. The record is from RNAcentral. Lineage: Eukaryota; Fungi; Glomeromycota; Glomeromycetes; Archaeosporales; Archaeosporaceae.